Molecule: ribosomal RNA, 253 nt
Filed under: uncultured bacterium
Lineage: Bacteria
Description: partial 16S ribosomal RNA
Rfam family: Bacterial small subunit ribosomal RNA
Source: RNAcentral
UACGUAGGGGGCAAGCGUUAUCCGGAUUUACUGGGUGUAAAGGGAGCGUAGACGGCCAGACAAGUCUGAAGUGAAAAUCCAGCGCUUAACGCUGGAAGUGCUUUGGAAACUGCCGGGCUGGAGUGCAGGAGGGGCAGGCGGAAUUCCUAGUGUAGCGGUGAAAUGCGUAGAUAUUAGGAGGAACACCAGUGGCGAAGGCGGCCUGCUGGACUGCAACUGACGUUGAGGCUCGAAGGCGUGGGGUGCAAACAGG